Molecule: ribosomal RNA, 496 nt
Filed under: uncultured bacterium
Lineage: Bacteria
Description: partial 16S ribosomal RNA
Rfam family: Bacterial small subunit ribosomal RNA
Source: RNAcentral
GAUGAACGCUGGCGGCGUGCCUAAUACAUGCAAGUCGAGCGAACAGACGAGGAGCUUGCUCCUUUGACGUUAGCGGCGGACGGUGAGUAACACGUAGGUAACCUACCUAUAAGACUGGGAUAACUUCGGGAAACCGGAGCUAAUACCGGAUAAUAUUUCGAACCGCAUGGUUCGAUAGUGAAAGAUGGCUUUGCUAUCACUUAUAUAUGGACCUGCGCCGUAUUAGCUAGUUGGUAAGGUAACGGCUUACCAAGGCAACGAUACGUAGCCGACCUGAGAGGGUGAUCGGCCACACUGGAACUGAGACACGGUCCAGACUCCUACGGGAGGCAGCAGUAGGGAAUCUUCCGCAAUGGGCGAAAGCCUGACGGAGCAACGCCGCGUGAGUGAUGAAGGUCUUCGGAUCGUAAAACUCUGUUAUUAGGGAAGAACAAACGUGUAAGUAACUGUGCACGUCUUGACGGUACCUAAUCAGAAAGCCACGGCUAACUACGUG